AACAGCUCAAAUUUGAAAUCUGGCUUCGGCCCGAGUUGUAAUUUGUAGAGGAUGCUUUUGGUGAGGUGCCUUCUGAGUUCCCUGGAACGGGACGCCAGAGAGGGUGAGAGCCCCGUAUAGUCGGCCACCGAUCCUCUGUAAAGCUCCUUCGACGAGUCGAGUAGUUUGGGAAUGCUGCUCAAAAUGGGAGGUAUAUCUCUUCUAAAGCUAAAUAUUGGCCAGAGACCGAUAGCGCACAAGUAGAGUGAUCGAAAGAUGAAAAGCACUUUGAAAAGAGGGUUAAAUAGCACGUGAAAUUGUUGAAAGGGAAGCGCUUGUGACCAGACUUGUGCCGGGCUGAUCAUCCAGUGUUCUCACUGGUGCACUCGACCCGGCUCAGGCCAGCGUCGGUUCUCGCAGGGGGAUAAAAGCGGCGGGAACGUGGCACCUCCGGGUGUGUUAUAGCCCGCCGCUCAAUACCCUUGCGGGGACCGAGGUUCGCGCUCUGCAAGGACGCUGGCAUAAUGGUCAUCAGCGACCCGUCUUGAAACACGGACCAAGGAGUCGAGGUUUUGCGCGAGUGUUUGGGGUGUAAAACCCGCACGCGUAAUGAAAGUGAACGUAGGUGAGAGCUUCGGCGCAUCAUCGACCGAUCCUGAUGUAUUCGGAUGGAUUUGAGUAAGAGCGUAAAGCCUCGGACCCGAAAGAUGGUGAACUAUGCCUGAAUAGGGUGAAGCCAGAGGAAACUCUGGUGGAGGCUCGCAGCGGUUCUGACGUGCAAAUCGAUCGUCAAAUUUGGGCAUGGGGGCGAAAGACUAAUCGAACCAUCUAGUAGCUGGUUACCGCCGAAGUUUCCCUCAGGAUAGCAGUGUUGUUCUUCAGUUUUAUGAGGUAAAGCGAAUGAUUAGGGACUCGGGGGCGCUAUAUAGCCUUCAUCCAUUCUCAAACUUUAAAUAUGUAAGAAGCCCUUGUUACUUAAUUGAACGUGGGCAUUCGAAUGUACCAACACUAGUGGGCCAUUUUUGGUAAGCAGAACUGGCGAUGCGGGAUGAACCGAACGCGGGGUUAAGGUGCCAGAGUGGACGCUCAUCAGACACCACAAAAGGCGUUAGUACAUCUUGACAGCAGGACGGUGGCCAUGGAAGUCGGAAUCCGCUAAGGACUGUGUAACAACUCACCUGCCGAAUGUACUAGCCCUGAAAAUGGAUGGCGCUCAAGCGUCCCACCCAUACCCCGCCGUCA
RNAcentral lists this ribosomal RNA (1221 nucleotides) under fungal sp. RNAcentral's name for it is "eukaryotic LSU rRNA". It matches the Rfam family "Eukaryotic large subunit ribosomal RNA", at positions 103 to 1357 of the family's 3401-position model. Lineage: Eukaryota; Fungi. The record is from RNAcentral.